This is a non-coding RNA of Parelaphostrongylus tenuis, 74 nucleotides long. NCBI's taxonomy places the organism in Eukaryota, Metazoa, Nematoda, Chromadorea, Rhabditida, Metastrongylidae. The record is from the annotation of a GenBank genome assembly.
GCCUCGGUGGUGUAGUGGUAGAGCAUGCGUCCCCUGAUAGGAUGGAACGCGAGGUUCGAUUCCCUCCUGAGGCC